CCUACGGGAGGCAGCAGUGGGGGAUAUUGGACAAUGGGGGAAACCCUGAUCCAGCGAUGCCGCGUGAGGGAAGAAGGUUUUCGGAAUGUAAAACUCUGUGGAGGAGGACGCUAAUGGCGGUACGCCUUUCGUAAGCCACGGCUAACUACGGACAAGCAGGCGCGGGAAUACGUAGGUGGCGAGCGUUGUCCGGAGUUACUGGGGGUAAAGGGGGCGUAGGCGGUCUUGCAAGUCAGACGUGAAAACCACAGGCUCAACCUGUGGACUGCGUUUGAAACUGUGGGGCUUGAGUGAAGGAGAGGUAGGCGGAAUUCCCGGUGUAGCGGUGAAAUGCGUAGAGAUCGGGAGGAACACCAGUGGCGAAGGCGGCCUACUGGGCUUUAACUGACGCUGAGGCACGAAAGCAUGGGUAGCAAACAGGAUUAGAUACCCGAGUAGUC
RNAcentral lists this ribosomal RNA (440 nucleotides) under uncultured bacterium. RNAcentral describes it as "partial 16S ribosomal RNA". It matches the Rfam family "Bacterial small subunit ribosomal RNA", at positions 338 to 795 of the family's 1533-position model. The record is from RNAcentral.